AGAAAGGUGCUCGAGUGGUUGAAGAGGCACGCCUGGAAAGCGUGUAAACGCCAAAAGUGUUUCGAGGGUUCGAAUCCCUUCCUUUCUG
This 88-nucleotide transfer RNA is filed under the name Prevotellaceae bacterium. RNAcentral's name for it is "tRNA-Ser". It matches the Rfam family "tRNA". From Rfam's summary of the family: Transfer RNA (tRNA) molecules are approximately 80 nucleotides in length. The record is from RNAcentral. Lineage: Bacteria; Pseudomonadati; Bacteroidota; Bacteroidia; Bacteroidales; Prevotellaceae.